GGGGGAAAUCGAGCAGGCUAUCCUGCAAAGAAAGAACAACGGCAGGGCUAGAGUCCCCGGGAUAGUUCCGACGUUCAAGUUAGUAGAGCUUAUGAAGAGGGCAACAGUAUAGAGUACUGUAGAUGACGUACCUUGUAUUGUAAUGUGGUGCCAUAUUUAUAGGUUUGAGGGUAGUGGUUUCCAUAUAGGAGUAAGAAUCCCCUAGGGUUUGGAGUCUUUCUAGGGUUUUGUAAGAUGGCCCCGAAAGGCUCGGAGGCCGCGGCCCACGAGGCCCACCGCAUGGAGAGGGAGCGACUCCAGCCGAGCUGGCCUUCCCUUUUCCCGAGCUGACGUGCCC
This 337-nucleotide long non-coding RNA is filed under the name Coffea arabica (coffee). RNAcentral describes it as "long non-coding RNA (CARA_LNC007094)". Lineage: Eukaryota; Viridiplantae; Streptophyta; Magnoliopsida; Gentianales; Rubiaceae. The record is from RNAcentral.